Molecule: ribosomal RNA, 101 nt
Filed under: Paraclostridium sordellii
Lineage: Bacteria; Bacillati; Bacillota; Clostridia; Peptostreptococcales; Peptostreptococcaceae
Source: RNAcentral
UGGUUAUUAUAGCAAAGAGGAUACACCUGUUCCCAUCCCGAACACAGAAGUUAAGCUCUUUAGCGCCGAUGGUACUUGGUGGGAAGCUGCCUGGGAGAGUA